Molecule: ribosomal RNA, 726 nt
Filed under: Salmonella enterica subsp. enterica serovar Saintpaul
Lineage: Bacteria; Pseudomonadati; Pseudomonadota; Gammaproteobacteria; Enterobacterales; Enterobacteriaceae
Also listed under: 1 other name
Description: partial 23S ribosomal RNA
Rfam family: Bacterial large subunit ribosomal RNA
Source: RNAcentral
GUACAAGCAGUGGGAGCCCCACCACUAAGCCAGUGGUGAACUCCACAUCCGCAUCCUUUGCUGAGGAUACGGUUAACGGAGCGAAAGCGACGUUCAACCGCAAAACAAGCAGAGGGGGCUUAGUGGUGGGGUGACUGCGUACCUUUUGUAUAAUGGGUCAGCGACUUAUAUUCUGUAGCAAGGUUAACCGAAUAGGGGAGCCGGAGGGAAACCGAGUCUUAAUUGGGCGUUAAGUUGCAGGGUAUAGACCCGAAACCCGGUGAUCUAGCCAUGGGCAGGUUGAAGGUUGGGUAACACUAACUGGAGGACCGAACCGACUAAUGUUGAAAAAUUAGCGGAUGACCUGUGGCUGGGGGUGAAAGGCCAAUCAAACCGGGAGAUAGCUGGUUCUCCCCGAAAGCUAUUUAGGUAGCGCCUCGUGAAUUCAUCUCCGGGGGUAGAGCACUGUUUCGGCUAGGGGGCCAUCCCGGCUUACCAACCCGAUGCAAACUGCGAAUACCGGAGAAUGUUAUCACGGGAGACACACGGCGGGUGCUAACGUCCGUCGUGAAGAGGGAAACAACCCAGACCGCCAGCUAAGGUCCCAAAGUCAUGGUUAAGUGGGAAACGAUGUGGGAAGGCCCAGACAGCCAGGAUGUUGGCUUAGAAGCAGCCAUCAUUUAAAGAAAGCGUAAUAGCUCACUGGUCGAGUCGGCCUGCGCGGAAGAUGUAACGGGGCUAAACCAU